UGUUCCCCUCCCGGCAUGGCGGGCGGGUUUCUGCUGGAGAUCAGGCGGGGGACGCAGAGCGCGUUGCUGGUUAUCCGCGAGGCGGGCCUUCCGAGCUCAGCGGUGGACGUUUCUGUGGCCGCGGACUGUCUGGAAGUGAGACGCGGCGAGAGCCGCGAGGCGGCGGCGCUGCCGGCAGAGGUCAGGCUGGUCCCGGCCUCCUGCCGCGGCCUGCUCCGCCUCCCCGGCGAGGGCCUGCACCUGCGCAUGCGCCUGCGCCGCCCGCCGCCGAGCGCCGAUUUGAUUUUUACUUUGAGGGAAAGCCUGAAACCCCAGAAGAAUUAUGUCUUUUCCUGUCAGUCCUGUGGUGAUGUCAUAGUAAAAGACCGGAAAUUUCUCAGAGUUCUUCCUCUACCAAGUGAAAACUGGAGUGCUUUAGUUGAAGAAUGGUGUUGUCACCCUGACCCCUUUGCCAGAAGCACUUUAUACCCUCAGCAUGACGACUGUUUUCUUGGAGACACUUUUUUUCUGUUGAAUUCAGGAAAUGAAUCACAUGUGCCUGAAUCUCCCAUGUGCUGCUCAGAGACUGGACACCAUGCUUCCCAGACUGGCCCCAACAUGAAAUCAAAGGAAAAUACCAGAGUAAUUUGUAAGCGCUGCAAGACAAUGCUGGGAGAAACAGUAUCAUCAGAUACCAUUAAAUAUUAUGUCACCGAGGUGACUAUUCGACCAUCUGAGAGAAGUUUCAGCCCAACACCAAGGUCUCAAUUCGUACAGAGCAUGGUUGCUCAGAUUCUUGUGGAAUUGUCCUCUGCUAAAAGCACGUUUAGAUUCACUGUAACAGGGGAUAAUGGAAAAAUCUAUAUUCUGAUGUGGCUUUUAAAUUCUGACACAUUGCUGGUGGAGUCUUUAGGAAGUUCCUCCUCCCACAGUGUUUUUACACUGUUUGGGGAUAUUUUCAUGCCUAGCUCUGGACCAGUGGGGACCUGGAGUGCUGUCAAAGUCCUUUACCAGCCAUGCAUUAAAAGCAGGAAUAAGGACAUUGCUGAUGCAUGGGAAAAUGACAUCGGAGUUCAUCCUUUAAAGUUUCCAUCAGAAACAUGUAUGGAAUUACUGCUGAUACUGGGUUUGAGUACCGCCUCUCUGCCACCUUCACUUCGAUACUUGAACUCUUUUCAGGUUGCCUUUUUGAAGAUGUGAAGAAUGCAAAUACCUGUGUUGAAAACUAUUCUCAAAUUCAUUUUCAGCAGAAAUGUACAGAUAACUUCCAGCGGUGUGACUUCUAGAAAAAAAUCCAUGGCAAUACAAAACAAAAUGGGAGUGUGGUGUGUUAUUCUUCAUAUCUGAAUGCGUUUCAAAACCAAGGACAGAGUUAACUUUUGCAUCCAGUACAUUCUUAGAUGUAAUUCUAAGAGUGACUUACCGGGAUGACUGUUCUGAUCUCUUCAUUGCCAAAAAGAAAUUAUCUGUGUAUCUGAGUAUUACCUUUAUCAGACAGUGUUUGAUAGUGACCUAUAUGUCCUUAGGAAAAUUCACAGCUGGUAGCAAAGAGAGGUUUUAAAAUAUUUAACAUCAUAAAUACUAACAUAAGUUCUUUACUUUUUUGUUCUGGUAAAGUUAGAGGUCCAACUUUAAAACAUAAAAUCUGUUUUUUGUCAAACUUACAUGUUUAUUAUGUACAUUGUUUCCAUGUUAAGGUUUGCCUUCCUUCUUGAGAGAGAAGGAAGACAGUUUCUGUGUUCCUACACCUCAUGUAGAAUUUUUUUAAAUUGAUAAUGUUUUGGAGAAUCAAGGUUUUAUGGUUACUUUGAAUAAUAACUCCUUCAACUUCAAGAAAGAGCAUGUGUGUGAAGGCUGGCCUUGCAGAAACUUCUGGAGGUGAAAGAUACUUGAAGCAAGUCCAUACAGCUACUUUAAAUUAUCAUUCUCUGUUGUGGAUGCUCAGCAGCCUUCCAUGGGAGCAAUAGCGUAUUUCCGUGGGACACAGAAGCUGUUACGAUUUUCGGUUUUGGGAUGGAUUACUCGCUUAGUUCAUAGAAUCAUAGAAUGGUUUAGGUUGGAAGGGACCUCAGAGAUUAUCUAGUUCCAACCCCCCUGCCAUAGGCAGGGACACCCUCCACUAGACCAUAUUGCCCAAAGCCCCAUCCAACCUGGCCUUGAACACUUCCAGGGAGGGGGCAUCCACAACUUCUCUGGACAAACUGUUCCAGUGCCUCACCACCCUCACAGGGAAGAAUUUCUUCCUACUAUCUAAUCUAAAUUGACCCUCUUUUAGUUUAAAGCCAUUACCCCUUGUCCUGUCACUACAUGCCCUUGAUAAACAGUCCCUCACCAGCUUUCCUGUAGGUCCCCUUCAGGUACUGGAAAGCAGCAAUAAGGUCUCCCCAGAGCCUUCUCUUCUCCAGGCUGAACAAUCCCAACUCUCUUAGCCUGUCCUCAUAGGAGAGGUGCUCCAGCCCUCUGAUCAGCUUCGUGGCCCUCCUCUGGACUCGCUCCAACAGCUCCAUGUCUCUCCUGUACUGGGGCCCCCAGAGCUGGACGCAGUACUCCAGGUGGGGUCUCACGAGAGCAGAGUAGAGGGGCAGGAUCACCUCCCUCGACGUGCUGGUCACACUUCUUUUGAUGCAGCCCAGGACAUGGUUGGCUUUCUGGGCUGCAAGCACACACUGCCGGCUCAUGUUGAGCUUAGUUGAUAGCAAUUUUUGCCUUCCCUUGUCCAGGGGAACAGAAUGGUUUAAGUGCAUCAGCUAAGGAGCAGAAAAGAUGUCUCCGGGCAUUUUUGCCUCAAUUCAGGCUCAUGGGAAUGAUUUGAGCUAGAAGGAGGUGAUCCUUUAGUAUCAACCAUCUCUUUUGGACCCCUCAUUCCUCCAAGAUCUUAUCCCAUAUCUGCCUUGCUUAUCUGCAGUUUUCCUUAAACAACUGCUCUUGGCAAAUCAGUCAGGUACUGGAAUGGUUUAUCUGACCUACUAUGACAAUUGUAGUGUUCUCAAAAUGUACACAAAAAGAAAAAAAAAGAAAAAAAAAGAAAAAAAAAAAGAGAGCUUGUUUAUGUAGGCUGGCCUUUUCAAAGUCCAUCUUUAAACUCUUAAAAUAAAAAGAUGCUACCUUGUUGGAAAACAGCUAUAUUUUGAGGGAAUGGAUUCUGGAGGGAAUAUUCUUGUUAGAGGAGUUCAUUGAAAAUUCCUGUAUUUCAAAGAAAGUUAACAUGCCCUUUACUCAUGAAAUGAUCAUAAUGUAGGAAGUGACCCUGCAGUGUCUUGGACACCUUGUCUGGGUUUUACACAUCCAAAGACAAGUAGAUGAGGCCUCCCAGCACCCAGGCUGGAUAUCAUAUUUUUCUGCUAUUAUUCUAGUUUUCAGUAUUGAAGGAAGAACAAAAAUUAUCUGAGUUUUGUAUUCAGGGACUAAAUUAUCUAGCUCAAAGAUAUUUUGUCUAUGCAG
This is an RNA transcript of Grus americana (Whooping crane), 3420 nucleotides long. It is a transcript of the gene named ubiquitin protein ligase E3D, with no coding region annotated. NCBI's taxonomy places the organism in Eukaryota, Metazoa, Chordata, Aves, Gruiformes, Gruidae. The transcript is spliced from 11 exons. The record is from RefSeq and is a predicted model, not a curated record.